Molecule: ribosomal RNA, 397 nt
Filed under: uncultured bacterium
Lineage: Bacteria
Description: partial 16S ribosomal RNA
Rfam family: Bacterial small subunit ribosomal RNA
Source: RNAcentral
AUACGUAGGGGGCGAGCGUUGUCCGGAAUGAUUGGGCGUAAAGGGCGCGUAGGCGGCCCGGUAAGUCUGGAGUGAAAGUCCUGUUUUUAAGAUGGGAAUUGCUUUGGAUACUGUCGGGCUUGAGUGCAGGAGAGGUAAGUGGAAUUCCCAGUGUAGCGGUGAAAUGCGUAGAGAUUGGGAGGAACACCAGUGGCGAAGGCGACUUACUGGACUGUAACGGACGCUGAGGCGCGAAAGUGUGGGGAACAAACAGGAUUAGAUACCCUGGUAGUCCACACUGUAAACGAGGAAUGCUAGGUGUAGGGGGUAUCGACCCCUUCUGUGCCGCAGUCAACACAAUAAGCAUUCCGCCUGGGGAGUACGGCCGCAAGGUUGAAACUCAAAGGAAUUGACGGGG